AGAGUUUGAUCAUGGCUCAGAUUGAACGCUGGCGGCAUGCCUUACACAUGCAAGUCGUACGCGAAAGGGGGCAACCCCGAGUAGAGUGGCGAACGGGUGAGCAAUACAUCGGAACGUGUCCUGUAGCGGGGGACAACCUCGAGAAAUCGAGGCUAAUACCGCAUACGAUCUACGGAUGAAAGUGGGGGACCGCAAGGCCCCACACUAUAGGAGCGGCCGAUGCCGGAUUAGCUAGCUGGUGGGGUAACGGCCUACCAAGGCGACGAUCCGUAGCUGGUUUGAGAGAACGACCAGCCACACUGGGACUGAGACACGGCCCAGACUCCUACGGGAGGCAGCAGUGGGGAAUUUUGGACAAUGGGCGAAAGCCUGAUCCAGCCAUGCCGCGUGAGUGAAGAAGGCCUUCGGGUUGUAAAGCUCUUUCGGCGGGGACGAAAUAGCGCGGGGUAAUAUCCCGCGUCGAUGACGGUACCCGAAGAAGAAGGACCGGCUAACUACGUGCCAGCAGCCGCGGUAAUACGUAGGGUCCAAGCGUUAAUCGGAAUUACUGGGCGUAAAGCGUGCGUAGGUGGUCUCGCAAGUCCGAUGUGAAAUCCCCGAGCUUAACUUGGGAACUGCGUUGGAAACUAUGAGGCUAGAGUGCGGCAGAGGGGGGUGGAAUUCCAGGUGUAGCAGUGAAAUGCGUAGAGAUCUGGAGGAACACCGAUGGCGAAGGCAGCCCCCUGGGCCAGCACUGACGCUGAUACACGAAAGCGUGGGGAGCAAACAGGAUUAGAUACCCUAGUAGUCC
Molecule: ribosomal RNA, 790 nt
Filed under: uncultured bacterium
Lineage: Bacteria
Description: bacterial SSU rRNA
Rfam family: Bacterial small subunit ribosomal RNA
Source: RNAcentral